Molecule: ribosomal RNA, 658 nt
Filed under: Bacillus amyloliquefaciens
Lineage: Bacteria; Bacillati; Bacillota; Bacilli; Caryophanales; Bacillaceae
Description: bacterial SSU rRNA
Rfam family: Bacterial small subunit ribosomal RNA
Source: RNAcentral
AGUCGGCAGCUAUGAUGCAAGUCGAGCGGACAGAUGGGAGCUUGCUCCCUGAUGUUAGCGGCGGACGGGUGAGUAACACGUGGGUAACCUGCCUGUAAGACUGGGAUAACUCCGGGAAACCGGGGCUAAUACCGGAUGGUUGUUUGAACCGCAUGGUUCAGACAUAAAAGGUGGCUUCGGCUACCACUUACAGAUGGACCCGCGGCGCAUUAGCUAGUUGGUGAGGUAACGGCUCACCAAGGCAACGAUGCGUAGCCGACCUGAGAGGGUGAUCGGCCACACUGGGACUGAGACACGGCCCAGACUCCUACGGGAGGCAGCAGUAGGGAAUCUUCCGCAAUGGACGAAAGUCUGACGGAGCAACGCCGCGUGAGUGAUGAAGGUUUUCGGAUCGUAAAGCUCUGUUGUUAGGGAAGAACAAGUGCCGUUCAAAUAGGGCGGCACCUUGACGGUACCUAACCAGAAAGCCACGGCUAACUACGUGCCAGCAGCCGCGGUAAUACGUAGGUGGCAAGCGUUGUCCGGAAUUAUUGGGCGUAAAGGGCUCGCAGGCGGUUUCUUAAGUCUGAUGUGAAAGCCCCCGGCUCAACCGGGGAGGGUCAUUGGAAACUGGGGAACUUGAGUGCAGAAGAGGAGAGUGGAAUUCCACGUGUAGCGG